This 129-nucleotide unclassified non-coding RNA is filed under the name uncultured Lecanorales. RNAcentral describes it as "sequence contains ITS2". The record is from RNAcentral. Lineage: Eukaryota; Fungi; Ascomycota; Lecanoromycetes.
CAACCUUCAAGCCUGGCUUGGUAUUGGGUCCGCCGCCUCCGGCAGGCCUCAAAGAUGUUGGCGGUGGGCGACCCCCGAGCGUGAUGGGUUCACGACAACGGGGCGGUCCGUCGCCGAAAGUUCUCUCUA